UCCCUGGCAGUCCAAUGGUUAAGACUUUGUACUUCCAAUGCAAGGGGUGCAGGUUCGAACCCUAGUCAGGGAA
Molecule: transfer RNA, 73 nt
Filed under: Ovis aries (sheep)
Lineage: Eukaryota; Metazoa; Chordata; Mammalia; Artiodactyla; Bovidae
Rfam family: tRNA
About the family: Transfer RNA (tRNA) molecules are approximately 80 nucleotides in length. Their secondary structure includes four short double-helical elements and three loops (D, anti-codon, and T loops). Further hydrogen bonds mediate the characteristic L-shaped molecular structure. tRNAs have two regions of fundamental functional importance: the anti-codon, which is responsible for specific mRNA codon recognition, and the 3' end, to which the tRNAs corresponding amino acid is attached (by aminoacyl-tRNA synthetases). tRNAs cope with the degeneracy of the genetic code in two manners: having more than one tRNA (with a specific anti-codon) for a particular amino acid; and 'wobble' base-pairing, i.e. permitting non-standard base-pairing at the 3rd anti-codon position.
Source: Rfam by way of RNAcentral